UUGGUAGAUCCUAAUUGGACUUGGAAUCUGGGCGGGACCCCAACAACCAUUCGCGGCGAUAUGACGCUUCAGUUUUGGGCCACCUGCGGCGCGUGUGUGCCGGGCGUUAUUGAUGCUAACUGGA
This 124-nucleotide unclassified non-coding RNA is filed under the name uncultured fungus. RNAcentral's name for it is "sequence contains ITS1". Lineage: Eukaryota; Fungi. The record is from RNAcentral.